AGCAGCCGCGGUAAUUCCAGCUCCAAUAGCGUAUAUUAAAGUUGCUGCAGUUAAAAAGCUCGUAGUUGAAUUUCGGGACUAAUAUGUCGGUCGUGCCUCGGUACGUACUGGCUUAUUGGUUUCUCCUUUCUGAAGAACCAUGAUGUCAUUUAUUUGGUGUCGUGGGGAAUCAGGACUGUUACUUUGAAAAAAUUAGAGUGUUUAAAGCAGGCUCACGCUUGAAUACAUUAGCAUGGAAUAAUGAAAUAGGACGUUUGAUUCUAUUUUGUUGGUUUCUAGGAUCGACGUAAUGAUUAAUAGGGAUAGUUGGGGGCAUUAGUAUUCAAUUGUCAGAGGUGAAAUUCUUGGAUUUAUUGAAGACUAACUACUGCGAAAGCAUUUGCCAAGGAUGUUUUCAUUAAUCAAGAACGAAAGUUAGGGGAUCGAAGACGAUCAGAUACCGUCGUAGUCUUAACCAUAAACUAUGCCGACUAGGGAUCGGAUGAUGUUAAUUUUUUAAUGACUCAAUCGGCGCCUUACG
This 520-nucleotide ribosomal RNA is filed under the name uncultured Glomus. Its description in RNAcentral is "SSU rRNA". It matches the Rfam family "Eukaryotic small subunit ribosomal RNA", at positions 569 to 1092 of the family's 1831-position model. Lineage: Eukaryota; Fungi; Glomeromycota; Glomeromycetes; Glomerales; Glomeraceae. The record is from RNAcentral.